This 493-nucleotide ribosomal RNA is filed under the name uncultured bacterium. RNAcentral's name for it is "partial 16S ribosomal RNA". It matches the Rfam family "Bacterial small subunit ribosomal RNA", at positions 1027 to 1533 of the family's 1533-position model. The record is from RNAcentral.
CUGGAACACAGGUGSYGCAUGGCUGUCGUCAGCUCGUGUCGUGAGAURUUGGGUUAAGUCCCGCAAYGAKCGCAACCCUWGUCGUUAAUUGCCAUCAUUUAGUUGGGCACUUUAACGAGACUGCCGGUGACAAACCGGAGGAAGGUGGGGAUGACGUCAAGUCCUCAUGGCCCUUAUGGGUAGGGCUUCACASGUCAUACAAUGGUCGGUACAAAGGGUUGCCAACCCGCGAGGGGGAGCCAAUCCCAGAAAGCCGAUCGUAGUCCGGAUUGCARGCUGCAACUCGCCUGCAUGAAGUCGGAAUCGCUAGUAAUCGUGGAUCAGCAUGUCACGGUGAAUACGUUCCCGGGUCUUGUACACACCGCCCGUCACACCAUGGGAGCGGGUUCCGCCAGAAGUAGGUAGCCUAACCGCAAGGGGGGCGCUUWMCRCGGCGGGGUUCGUGACKGGGGUGAAGUSGUAACAAGGUAACCGUAAUCGAAUUCCCGCGGCC